GAAAAACAAGGUGAAUAGCAUUUGCAGAGCUUCAAGAAGCUAAAUAGACAGAUCUCACUAAUGGCUUUAAGCCCUCACAAGACUAAAACAAACUGUGUCUGCUUUCAGCAAGUCUCCAAAAAUGUGCAGACAGUUGAAGAUGAAACAAAAGGAUUUACAGAUA
This is a long non-coding RNA of Polypterus senegalus (gray bichir), 163 nucleotides long. RefSeq lists it as uncharacterized. The transcript has 2 exons. Lineage: Eukaryota; Metazoa; Chordata; Cladistia; Polypteriformes; Polypteridae. The record is from RefSeq and is a predicted model, not a curated record.